RNAcentral lists this ribosomal RNA (354 nucleotides) under Triticum aestivum (bread wheat). Its description in RNAcentral is "partial small subunit ribosomal RNA". Lineage: Eukaryota; Viridiplantae; Streptophyta; Magnoliopsida; Poales; Poaceae. The record is from RNAcentral.
AUGCUUCUCACAAGUUCAAUUCAAGAUCCAGUUGUAUUGCCCGGGGAGCCUGGAGGCGGGAGCAAUGCUGAUGGUCACCACGGCAGUGGGUGGCCGCCGGGAGGCAAUGCACUCGCCGGACGUCAUUCACUUCACCGGCAUUGGUGGCACCAAGGGCGACCACAACCUCCAUGUUGGCGUUGCGUUGUGUGCGCACGCGACAUAGUCUACGUUUUCAUAGAGGCAGAACAUUAUAUCAGCAUGCAUCGGGAAUAUUCUUAUGAUGGAUUACUUCUUUGGAGUGCAAACGAAGCUGGUGUACCUUGGGAGGUGAAGAAUAAUAAGCUUGAGAAAAUUUUGACAAUCUUAGUUUAA